ACGUAAUAUCGUCACAAGUUCGGAUAAUUAAUGAUCAGCAGCAAUGACGCAGUCUAAAAAAUGAACAGCUGGGCCGCUUCGUUUCGAACAAGAGUUUCCAGCGAACGCCGCGACGCGGCGCUAGUGGCGCGCUUCUCUCUACCCGUGAAAAUCCUCACAGUUGCUCUCGUGAAUUAAUUGACGAUUCUUCAAAGCACUGACGCAUACCUACUCUGCAGUGUGUGCCGUGUACUACAGGUUGUCUUCGACAAGCCGCCUCUUCAUGAGAACACAGAGCACGAAGGUUCGACAGGCGACAUAUUAAAUGAAAAAAUAAAAGAAGGCGUGGGCCUCGCACAGGCAUCCCGUACACGACGAGGGGACGCCUAACCCAAGUUUCACGAAGUACAGAACUACGGGCUGCGCCGUAAAGCUUCGACUGACGAGAGUUACGAAUUUCUACAGUAAAUAGAGAAUACUUUACCUGCAUCAGGAUACGCGUCGUUACAUUAAAACGUUGACGGCGUUCCUGGUCAUAUGACGUGAGGUGAGAAUUCGCCCAGCAUCCGUUCAUCGUGCUUGGAGGGUCGUUCGGUUGCACUUUCACUGGAGAUCGUUUAUCGCAACCGGGACACGGCUGAAGAAAAAGGCACGUUAAUCGACGAUAAUUCUGUGGAUAUUUGCGACGGUGACUGUGCAGGUUGACGUUGCGCGGCAAUCGGGCUCAGCGCGCGUCUCAUUAAUAUUUAUAAGGUUCACUUGUUUCUCCUGCCUCUCUUCUUCGGUGUUUUCUUUUUCUAAUUCUUUCUUUUUUACUUCUUUUUCCUCGUAUCUCUGUCCACCUUUCCUAACUCGUCCUUCGCAAGCGUGAAUCGAGAGGUGCUCGUAAUAUUAUGCGAAGGACGUAAACGCAAUAUUUUCCAACGACUUAUGACCCCCUGGCGGUUGCUGGUAAUUACUAGAAAAUUAUGUCGCGUUCAUACCCACUAAUCUCAAUCGUUCUACAUCCAGUUCAUUCACAGGAACAACUUUGUCAGCGUGCAUAAACAUUUAUAUCGUGUUCCUUUGACAGAUUUUUUAUUUAAUAUCGUCUUACACAUGCAUGUACGCAAGAAAAAAAAAAUUAUUCAAGUCAAGUCAAAGAAAAAUACAUUAAAGUCAAAAAGCAACUACGUCGCUCGUUGAAUAUUCAGCAUUUCUCGAUUCUCCCUCGUCCCCGUCAACGUCACUGAAAGAUUUUCCAAAGCAUCCGGAUGAAUAAAAACGAUAAAAAGAGAGGCAACAAAAGUGAAAAUUUAUUCGCUAGAAAAAAAAAAAAGAGUAAAUAACCAAACCAAAAAUCAACGCGCAUUCUCUGACACGACGAAGACGUCGCGACGGACUGCAAACCGACCGGGUCAAGAUAGGCGUCUAGUCGCGAAAGCAAAGCACGUCGAACAAGUAAACUCCAUUAAGAAUCUUUACGUAUAAAUGAUUAAUAAAUGCUGUGGUAAUUGCCGCAUACGCCAAACCUCCUUGUAAUCCAUUACGACGUCCAGCUCGUAAAUCUUGAUCGGCAGCCAUGAUAGAAACGCCAUACCAUAUAAUACUCGGAUUCAUAUCGCAUUCUCACCUCUUCAACAAAAAAAAAAAAAAAUUCCUCCAUUCCCUCCAUACGACUUGACCUUUGCCCUUAGACGAGCAUAAAGUUCAAACUCUCGUAUAAUUUCACGUAAUUUCCAUCAGCG
Molecule: long non-coding RNA, 1706 nt
Organism: Cephus cinctus (wheat stem sawfly)
Lineage: Eukaryota; Metazoa; Arthropoda; Insecta; Hymenoptera; Cephidae
Exons: 2
Source: RefSeq, a predicted model, not a curated record